UACGGGGGGAGCAAGCGUUAUCCGGAAUCACUGGGCGUAAAGCGCGCGCAGGUGGUUCCUUAAGUCUGAUGUGAAAGCCCACGGCUCAACCGUGGAGGGUCAUUGGAAACUGGGGAACUUGAGUGCAGAAGAGGAAAGUGGAAUUCCAAGUGUAGCGGUGAAAUGCGUAGAGAUUUGGAGGAACACCAGUGGCGAAGGCGACUUUCUGGUCUGUAACUGACACUGAGGCGCGAAAGCGUGGGGAGCAAACAGG
This 253-nucleotide ribosomal RNA is filed under the name uncultured bacterium. RNAcentral's name for it is "partial 16S ribosomal RNA". It matches the Rfam family "Bacterial small subunit ribosomal RNA", at positions 524 to 776 of the family's 1533-position model. The record is from RNAcentral.